This 637-nucleotide long non-coding RNA is filed under the name Anser brachyrhynchus (Pink-footed goose). RNAcentral describes it as "lncRNA (ENSABRG00000019718.1)". Lineage: Eukaryota; Metazoa; Chordata; Aves; Anseriformes; Anatidae. The record is from RNAcentral.
AAAAAAUUGAAACUGGAAUUAAACAGAAAAUGAAUCAUAAAUACUACCAAUAAAUAAAAGCUGUAGUACCAGGAAAUUAAUCAUGCUUUUCCCAAAUCCCAUUAAAUCGCAGGACUUUGUUUAACCUGACUGACAAUGCAUGCCCUGCUAUGAAUUGUGAACAGCUGAGACUGUGAACACAAGGAAAUAGUGACUCACUGCAGAGCAUGGAGGCUGAUGAAGUGUGUUUAUGGCACAGUAGUGGUGAAUGUUUGUCCACACCUACAACAGCCACAGAUCAAGUUGGUGACGUUCCCGUUGGACUUGUGGCUGCUAUGUUCCAGGGAGCAGUGCUGAACCUGAUAGACUUCAUCUGACUUCAGCCUGCAGCUGCUACAGCCCCCAGCACCACCAACACCAUAGCAGGAGCUCCUUCCAAGCCUCAAAGCCUCUGAUGUCUGUGUCUCACCUGGCUAACGAAGAGCUGAGAGCCCAGGAGAAUUAGCUAUUCAACUCCACAGCUUCCAGAUUAAUGGGGUACUGAAGAGCUCGACAGAAGAGUUGGCUAAUAAUCAGACAGGGUUGUAGCUAAAACCUUUUCCCUUUCCACAGAAUCUUCAUAGAAAUUAAACCAACUUCACACAACACUUCAAUUUUG